Molecule: transfer RNA, 72 nt
Filed under: Marmota monax (woodchuck)
Lineage: Eukaryota; Metazoa; Chordata; Mammalia; Rodentia; Sciuridae
Description: tRNA.Ala
Source: RNAcentral
CGGGGUGUAACUCAGUGAUAGAGCUCUUGCCUAGCAUGUGAGAGACUCUGUGUUCAAUCCCCAGCACUAUAG